RNAcentral lists this ribosomal RNA (431 nucleotides) under Corynebacterium glutamicum. Its description in RNAcentral is "eukaryotic LSU rRNA". The stretch from base 79 to 232 matches the Rfam family "5.8S ribosomal RNA". Lineage: Bacteria; Bacillati; Actinomycetota; Actinomycetes; Mycobacteriales; Corynebacteriaceae. The record is from RNAcentral.
GGGGCGGGUCCGCCCGCCGAUUGGACAAUUUAAACCAUUUGCAGUUGCAAUCAGCGUCUGAAAAAACUUAAUAGUUACAACUUUCAACAACGGAUCUCUUGGUUCUGGCAUCGAUGAAGAACGCAGCGAAAUGCGAUAAGUAGUGUGAAUUGCAGAAUUCAGUGAAUCAUCGAAUCUUUGAACGCACAUUGCGCCCCUUGGUAUUCCAUGGGGCAUGCCUGUUCGAGCGUCAUUUGUACCUUCAAGCUCUGCUUGGUGUUGGGUGUUUGUCUCGCCUCUGCGUGUAGACUCGCCUCAAAACAAUUGGCAGCCGGCGUAUUGAUUUCGGAGCGCAGUACAUCUCGCGCUUUGCACUCAUAACGACGACGUCCAAAAGUACAUUUUUACACUCUUGACCUCGGAUCAGGUAGGAUAAAGCUAACUUAAUGAAG